This 467-nucleotide ribosomal RNA is filed under the name uncultured bacterium. Its description in RNAcentral is "partial 16S ribosomal RNA". It matches the Rfam family "Bacterial small subunit ribosomal RNA", at positions 28 to 507 of the family's 1533-position model. The record is from RNAcentral.
GAUGAACGCUGGCGGCGUGCUUAACACAUGCAAGUCGACCGGAAAGGCUCCUGCUUGCAGGGGUACUCGAGUGGCGAACGGGUGAGUAACACGUGGGUGAUCUGCCCUGCACUUCGGGAUAAGCCUGGGAAACUGGGUCUAAUACCGAAUAGGACCACAUUUUGGAUGGUGUGGUGGAAAGUUUUUCGGUGUGGGAUGAGCUCGCGGCCUAUCAGCUUGUUGGUGGGGUAAUGGCCUACCAAGGCGUCGACGGGUAGCCGGCCUGAGAGGGUGUACGGCCACAUUGGGACUGAGAUACGGCCCAGACUCCUACGGGAGGCAGCAGUGGGGAAUAUUGCACAAUGGGCGCAAGCCUGAUGCAGCGACGCCGCGUGGGGGAUGACGGCCUUCGGGUUGUAAACUCCUUUCGCUAGGGACGAAGCGUUUUUGUGACGGUACCUGGAGAAGAAGCACCGGCUAACUACGUG